AGUGGACUUAAAUGAUGGCUACUGUCACUUCAUCCCAUGUCUCCCUAGCUGUCCCCCUGCCUCCUAGUAGGUGGCUGAGUGUCCCCACUGAGAAUUCAGGGCCAGGAGCUGGGGGAGGCGCUCUAGGUAAGUGCCUUCUCAAUUUCGUUCCACUGGGUUUGUAUUCUGUCCCCAUCCCGUGGGGCCAGGGUGGCAGGCUCCAUCCUCCCACAUAGACACCCCUGACCCCGCGCUGAGUCGCGGCUGGGGAAGUCAAGAUGCUCUGCUUCAGAUGUCAGGCGUUCACUUCUGGGACUUCCUGGGGUUUAAUAAGCCAGGCACUUCUCAGAAGGGAUGUAGAUAGCCACCACUUGAUGACAGAGCUUUUUCCUUUUCUCUUUCUUUGUUGGUUUCCAUCCUGUUAACAUGGCCUAGGGGUGAAAACGAUACAGUUUGGGGAUAGAAAGUCAUACUUCACUGAGAAGGGCAUUUCAGCUUUCUCCCCUGCACCUCCGCUUCUGUACCCAGGGAACACGGAAAGGAAAGCGAGGAGCCGGAGACAGAGACCAGGCAGAGAUCACACGAGAGUUUAUUUGUCAGCUCUCCCGCUCCCUUGCUUUCCUUUCAUUGGAACCGAAACCCAGGAUCAGGUUCCCUGGUGUGCCUGCUCCCCUCUUUGAGGGUCACUGGGCAUCCCCUGGCCCUGAUCCGAAUUCCAUUGUGGGACCAGGCCCUCCAUUCUGCCGAACACCCUCUCUGCACCCACCACAGGACAUUCCAGCUAAGACGCCUGUCUCUGGACGACCUAAACGACCUGGGAAGUGACCGUUGAUUGUCUGGCACACCCCAGGGUUACCGUGUGGUUGGGGACAUCCCCAGCCACAGUUUCACAGCUAUGGCUGGUCCCUACUGUCAACUGGGUCUGUAGGUGGUCUUUUAUUCGGGUACUGGGUUUUGAGAAAAACCAUUGACGGUGAUUGGGAGUUGUUCCUGGUGAGACCUCUCGGCCUUGGGUUAAUCCCUACUGCUUCUGCCCCCAUGUCGUCCCAGCCGGGCACUCAAGUGUGCCUCUAUAGGUUUUGCCCCCAGCAGUGGUAAUGACCCCCUGACAUAACCGUCCUCUUGACUGGGUGAUACUAGAAAUUGGGAGAUGCCCCACCUCUAAACUCUCCUCCUGUAUCUCACCAUGGGUGACUCCUCAUCCAUUCCCUCCCAUAGUCCUCUAGGCUGCCUCCUGGCUAACUAGGGUCUCUCUCUCCCACCCCAGACCUACCCCCCCAAAAAAAAAAAAAAAAACUUAUCCAUUUGUGCAAUCAGACCUGGGCUCAAUAUCCUUUGGACUCUAAAUGGCUGCUUAACGGCACCCCAGAUCCCAAUAUUAUCAGGGAUCUUUUCAACUAUUGUGAGCUUUUGGGAAAAUGGAAAGAGAUAUCAUAUGUCCAGGCCUUCUUCUCACUAUGUUCUAAGCUCUCUCUGUAACUCUUGCUCGCCCACACAAGUCCUCUCAGCUCUUGCCUCCCCUAUGCUUGCUUCCAAAAGGACAGAAGAUCCUACCCAGGACUUCCCCUCCUUCAACCCAGUGGAUGAGCCCCCACCAUAUCACAAUUCUUUUUCUGAUGAAGCCACCACAGCAACUGUCCCCUGGGCUCCUCCACCCUUCUCUCCUCCUGCCACACACUCAUGGGCUGCCACUGCCCAACCCACAUCUCUGUCUUCUACGUGAGGGGGGCUGGCGUAGAUGGUGUAGUCUGGGUUCAUGUGCCUUUGUCUUUGUCAGAUCCUCACAGAUAGAAAAGCGGCUUGGGCCCUAUACUUCAAGCCCCACCACAUAUAUCAAAGAGUUUCAGUAUCUGACCCAAUCACAUGACUUGACCUUCCAUGAGGUCCAUGUGAUCUUGUCUAACACCCUCCUGCCUGAGGAGCACAGGCGAGUUUGGGAGCAAGCUAGAGAUUGUGCUGAUGAGGUACAUCAGACCUCCCCUGCCCAUCCUAUUGGCACUGAAGCAGCCCCUGAUCGGGAGCCCAACUGGGAUUAUAAUUCGCUUGGAGGAGUAACUAGUAGAAAGAAAUUCAUUACUUGCCUCAUGGCAGGACUUAGAAAGGCAGCCCAUAAGGCUAUCAAUUAUGAAAAACUCCAGGAAAUCAUCCAAGAUAAGAAUGAAAACCCUUCAACAUUUUUAGACCGCCUGACCAAGGCUUUAGGACAAUAUACUGGACCCCGAGACUCCAGAUGGGAGACAACGGCUAAUGACAUACCUUUUCUCCCAGAGUUUCCCUGACAUUAAGGCCAAACUAAGGUGCCUCAAGAGGGGUCCCUAACUCCCUAAGCUGAGGUUCUGGGAGUGGCCUUUAAGGUGUAUAACGGGAGAGACAAGAAGAUCUGGAAGCAGAAAUAUCAGAUGCUGGCUCAAGCCGUCUGUCUAGCCUCAGCAUCUGUCCCUGGUUCCACUGCCCCACGGUAGGGUCACUCAGGACUGCCCGGACCCUGUUUUAAAUGUGGUCAGAUGAGUCACUAAGCUUGGACAUGUCCCAAGCCUUGAAAGCCUCCGGGCCCUUGUUCUGAAAGCCAUCAGGAGGGACACUGGGCCAUCGACUGUCCCUGGUCCCUUAGCAGCCCCCAGCCAUCCAGCCCUUCUGGUUCCCCUUUCCGACUCUUAGGACUGACCGCUGAGGACUAAGGAGGCCCGGGUCCCCACCACCCGACCACUACCAUCACUCUGCCGGAAACCAGGAAACUCUGUGUAUUUCAGGUGGGCCUGUCUCCUCCCUCCUAGACACCGGGCUACAUAUUCAGCCCUCAAGGAGUUCUGGGGACCUACUGCCAACCCUUACAGACACCUAGCCUUGUUUGCACUUUUGGAUCUCUAAUUUUAACCCACUCCUUUUUGGUCAUUCCACAGUGUCCUGUUCCCCUUACGGGAAGGGACAUCCUCACAAAGUUGGGGGCUGUGCUCUCCUUCUCCCCUCACAUUCGCUUCCAUCCAGACCCGCCUGAUGCUCCUCUGAUCCUCACCCUGACCUUAGGACCAUCCCCUAUUCCGUCUGCCAGCGCCUCCCAUUUCCCCUUCCAAGGUGGACCCUACUGUCUGGGAUGUUCCAAGUCCUUCUAUCACCUCACACCAUGAGCCCAUUCACUCCAUUUCAGAACCCCCUCCAUUUUCUGCCCAGUCACAACACCGGCUCUACCUCCUUGGUGCUGCUGUCCCUCUCCUUUUGCAGAGCAGCCUCGUCAGGCCCCUGACAAUAAACCUGUUUCUGACCCCAGGUGUGUGUGUGUGUGAUUGGUCCUGCGCCACUUUUCUCCCAUUGGUGCCAGUGACUCGAUCAUGUUCUCCUAUCAGCUUUGCUCUCCCCUCCAGGGAUGUGAGCUGCUUUGGGAUCCUGAAGGCCCAGGACAAUGACCACACACCUUCUUCCAUUCACCUAGCACUCUUCUUCUUCAUCCACACUCUGGCCUCAUUUGGGUAAGUGACUUCGCCCUUCCCCUCUCCUCCUCCUCACCAGUCUAUCCCUAGAGACAAGCCUCCUCUCUAGAACUUAGAUCUUGGCCCAGCACCAAGAUUUUCGCCCAUCCCUCCCUCCUGGUGAGUUUACUCCACUUGCCAUGGGGAACUCCCAAUGCCCUUCCCUUGGUGAGUUCACUCUCGGGUCUUGGUUCUCAGCUCCUCAGCAGAGCUCAUGAAAGCCCUGGCCAGGCAACCAAGACUCUCUACAGGCAAAGCCCAGGACUAGGGAAGUAGCAGGUGAUUCCCUUCUCUCAGUCCCGACUCCAACCCGCCUUGGGGAACGCCCAAAUCCCUUCUGACUCACCUCUCAGCUGCUUCCUCACCCCCUUAGCCCCACUCUGUUUGGCUCCUGAUCUAAAGGCCCAUCGACCAAUUCAACCUUCCAAUCUUCAUAACUUUUGCAAGCACUCAGGAAAAUGGAAGGAAAUCCCUAUGUGUACUACUUGCCACUAAAGCUCUGGAUUCCUCCAGAGACCCUACUUCUAGACAAACAAGGGACCCAGAACCCUCCUACGUUGUAAAGCCCUGGGCAGCAAUCUCCCUGGCCAAGGCCACACUGAAGCUGACAUUGAAAUACAAAGGACAGACUCAGCAGGCUUGAUAAGAGGCCUAAGGGGAAAAAAGUGUCAAUUUAACUUUUCUCUGGCUACAACUGGCAGAAGAAUGGCUUCUUCUUCCUCUCUCUAUCUCCCUGAUCUCACACUCCCAUUUCACCUUUACAUGGCUAAAAAGCAGGGAUUUGCUCUAGGGGUCCUUGGACACAUGCUGGGGCCAACCUUUGCCCGUGUGGCUUAUCUACCAAAGGUCUUGAGCCUACUCUUCGGGGAUGGGCCCCUUGCUUCUCUACUC
Molecule: long non-coding RNA, 4334 nt
Filed under: Marmota monax (woodchuck)
Lineage: Eukaryota; Metazoa; Chordata; Mammalia; Rodentia; Sciuridae
Source: RNAcentral